Molecule: long non-coding RNA, 4316 nt
Filed under: Sus scrofa (pig)
Lineage: Eukaryota; Metazoa; Chordata; Mammalia; Artiodactyla; Suidae
Description: lncRNA (ENSSSCG00055025167.1)
Source: RNAcentral
AGAUACUAUAAAACUCUUAGAGAAAAACAUAGGCAGAACAUUCUUUGAUGUACAUUGCAGCAAUAGGUUUUUUGAUCCACUUCCUAGAGUAAUGAAAGUAAAAACAAAAAUAAACAAAUGUAACCUAAUCAAACUUACAAGCUUUUGUACAGCAAAGAAAACCUUUAACAAAACAAAAAGACAAUCCACAAAAUAGGAACAAAUUUUUGUACAUGAAGUGACUAACAAGAGAUUAAUCUCCAAAAUAUACAAACGUCUCAUACAGCUUUAUAUCAAAAAAAAAACAAACAACCCAAUAAAAAAAUGGGCAGAAGAUCUAAAUAGACAUUUCUCCAAAGAAGGCAGUCAGAUGGCCAAAAAGCACAUGAAAAAAUGCUCAACAUCACUAUUAGAGAAAGGAAAAUCAAAACUAAAAUGAGAUGAUUAGGUAUCAUCUCAUUACCAGUCAGAAUAGCCAUCAUCAAAAAGUCUACAAACAAUAAAUGGUGGAGAGGGUUGUAGAAAGGGAAUACUCCUUCACUGUUGGUGGAAAUAUAAGUUGGGGCAACCACUUUGGAAAACAGUGUGAAGUUUCCUUAAAAAGCUAAAUAUAGAACUACCAUAUGAUCCAGCAUUCCCACUCCCGGCAGCUAUCUGGAGAAAACCAUAAUUCAAAAAGAUACAUGGCCCCCCCAAUGUUCACUGCAGCACUAUUUACAGUAGCCAAGACAUAGAAGCAACCCAAAUGUACAUCAACAGAGGAUUGCGUAAAGAAGACUGUGGUACAUAUGUACAAUGGAAUAUUACUCAGACUUUAAAAAGCAUGAAGUGUGCCUUUUGCAGCAACACGGAUGGAUUUAGAGAUUAUCAUACUAAGUAAAGUCAGAGAGAGAAAGACAAGUAUCAUAAGAGAACACUAAUAUGUAGAAUUUAAUGAAAAGGAUACAAUAGAACUUACAAAGCAGAAAGAGACACAAGGAUUUUGAAACCAAAUUUAUGGUUACCAAAGAGGAAAUGUGGAAGGAAAGAAUAAAUUAGGGGGUUGGGAUUGACAUGUACACACUACUAUAUAUAAAAUAGAUGGGUAACAAGAACCUACUGUACAUCACAAGGAAAUCCACUCAGUACUAUGAAAUAAGCUAUAUGGGGAAAGAAUCUGAAAAGGAAUGGACAUGUGCAUAUGUACAACUGAUUUAUUUUGCUGUCCACCUGAAAUUAACACAACUUUGCUGAAAACAAGGUUGAUGUGUUUAAAAAACAAAAACCCACAAACUCUCUAAUGGUCUGCAAACAUGACUGUUUCCCACAGAAUUUAAGGAAUCCUCAUUCUUACUCUUCUAAUAAAGUCUUUGAGGCAACACCGCGAACAGCAGCAUCCUUUAAAUACAUAUGGGCAUCCACAGGGCCAUGUGACAUUCCCACUAGGUUGACGUGAGAAGGUUUUGUCCAUAAGUUGCCCAGAGCAUACCUCUUCUUUGUGUGCUCCUGUUGUUAUGGUCCUGGAGACCAGUGCCCAUAAAAUGAAAGAUUAAUGAGAUCGUCUUCAGCCCUGCUUUAGGCAAUUACAUUUAUUCCUCAUCAUUCUGCUUCCCCAGCCCUGACAUUUAGCUUCUCCUUACGCUGCUGUCUGAUAUUACAAAUUGUGCUGGGUAAUUUCCCGCAGCCAAAACAGGAGAUUUAGAAGCACCAGGGAGUUCUGGAAAUCUAUCCUGCCCAUCAUGAAAUGCUUCCUGUUCUGGCUUAAAAGCCCCAGAGAGAAAAGAAAUGUGUCUACGUCAGGGUGGUGGGGCCACUACAAAUAAUAGAAUCAUAAGACCCAUGGAAGGAAAAAAGUUUGGUUUUCUUUGUAGGAAUUCCUAUCUUGACACCCUAUAACUAAGAGACGUUGGGAAAUUUCUUAAACAUUACUUAACCUACCUAUCUUAAUAGGACAAGAUUAGUUUCAGCGGAACUAUUUCCUGGGAAAAAAAAAAGAGAGAGAGACUUUGACUGGUAUAUGAUACUUUUAACCUUGGUGGUAAUGAAAUUUUUGUUUUUUUUUUAAAAAAGGCAAGGGUGUGGGUGGGAAUUAAUCGGCUUCAGUCACUGCAGUAUAGGCAUAGUACAUUCUUUAUGUAUGGGAACCUUCAGUUCCUGUAGCCUUAAGUGCAGGAGGAAAGGGAUUAUAUGAAAGAUUGGUUAUGUACUUAUGGAAACUGCUUAUUUUGCUGGCAUCAAGAAAAAUCAGGAAGACUCCUCUCAAAUUUUAUUCCCCUACUCCUAUCUGUGUAUUUGAGAUCCAAGCUGGUUAGUUUAGUAGCUUGGAAGAAUUACAAACGUUUUUCUUUUAACAUAAAAUUUUCCUGAAAAUUUUGGUUUGCGGUGAACUUGUUCAAUUCUUUCCUUCAAGCAGAUGUGGAAGUAUUGGGAAGGGAGGGGCAGGAGAUGGUUCAGAGACCCGCCCACUGCCCACCCGCACCUCAGUCUGAUCAAAGUCAAGCACAUUCAUGGGUGUCCUGACUUACGAAUUCUCUUCAAAACUUCCAAAUGGAAUUUCCACUAGAAAUAAGCUCAGGAUUAUUGACACCAACAGCCACUGAUUAUCACUACCCUCCAAUGGCAGGCCCCUAAGCAGCAGGGGCAUAAAGUGAGUUCUCAGUCUCCGAGGUUUUUGUCAUCAGUCCUGAGCCUUUGAAAAGUUGGGAGGUUAGCCAAACAUAUAGCUUUCCCCAGAAACACAGAAAAUUAAGGCUCAAGGCAGUUAAAAACUUCUCCAGAGAAAAAUGGUUACAAAGAAACAAUAUCCCAUAAGAAUGUACCCACAGGGACUAGAACUCCCAAAAUUUCAAGAGCAAUUUAAGAGCAUCCCAAGAGGUUGAUGCCUCCUUCCCCACCUCAAAUUCCAAGUCCUUGGGCUUUCAGAUAAGGAUUUUUUAAAUAUUAUUCACACAGAACUGAGAAUGGCUUACUGCCCCCUUCUUGGCAUGGAUUAUCAUUGAUAGAUCAGAAUAAAGCCAAGUUAAAUCUGCCAGUGAGCUGACAGGUAGAGAAGGGUCAGGGAAAAGGGUCACCAAAUUCCCUGAAAUUCGUCACCUAAAUUCUCACUAAACUCACUUCCUUGUAGAAUCCAGUUUUAGCAAGAACACAGAUGAGUCAGUUUAGCAAGAAACCCCUUCCUCAGUACCCGAUCACUAUCCAUGUCUGAUCAAAUCCUCUGCCCUUGGAAUCUGGUCAUCUUGGCCAACGUUCAGCAAGAAUCCUGUCAAGUCAGUUUAGCCAGAACCGUUCUUCCCUCCUAAGGUUUCUUCUUAGUAAUAUUCCAUCCACUGACCUCUUUACCCCCCAAAUCCUGAUCUUUGGCUGUAAUUCCCACUCGUUCACACUGUGUGAGGUAUUGAAUCCAGUUUUAUGGAGGGUUUUUUUUUUUUUUCCUUAUUGCAAUAAUUUUGCUUUGUUGUUUAGUAAAAUUGUGUCUUCACCGCUUUAACUUCUGCCUUUCUCUGGUUUUCUUUAACACACAUAAUAUCUUUGAGCAUCAGUGCAUUUACUUGUAAAAUAAUAAUAACACUCUCUUGGGUGAGGCUCAAGUGAGAUAAUGUAUUAUCUUUAAAACCAAAGGCAUUCCACCAUUGUUAACUGCAAUUACCAUUGCAGAUUCAUUAGUCUGUUUGGAAUCUUUUCAAAAUUCAGAAUAUUUUGGAUGUUAAAAAGGUAAUUCAGGUGAAAUGUGCUUAGAAAAUACAUCUUAGGUGUUCUUACACACACACACACACACACACACACACACACUAACUGUGUAAGGUGAUGGAUGUGUUCAUUAACCUGAUUGUGGCAAUCAUUUCACAGUGUACAUGUGUAGUAAAUCAUGACAUUGUGCACCUUAAAAAUAAAGUUUAUUAGCAUCCUAGGGGAAAAAAGUAAUUCAGUAUAUAUGCCAAUUAUUAAAUUCAGUGGAGUCUAUGAUAGUAUCCCAUUAUUAUACAUAUUAAUAUAUCUUUAGCAAAAUGAACAAAUACUCCCACUAAGUGGGUUGAAUAAAGACUAUCUCAAGCUGCAUGAUGGUUUAGGAGAGGUUUUACAACUGAAUUAUGAAAACUUUCCAUUUCAAUAGCUCUUCAGAUGUUGGAAUCAGUGAUAAGAAAUUGUUGACCUGGAGCUCCUGUCCUGGCUCCGUGGAAAUGAAUCUGACUAGGAUCCAUGACACAGGUGCGAUCCCUGUCCUCGCUCAGUGGGUUAAGGAUCUGGCCUUGCCAUGAGCUGUGGUGUAGGUCGCAGAUGCAGCUCGGAUCUGGCGUUGCUGUGGUGUGGGCUGGCAGCUGUAGCUCCAAUUUGACCCUUAGCCUGAGAACUUCCAUAUG